GAAAUUUUGUCCAGGCUUGUCUAGAUCAAAAUUUCACUCAUAAGGGGAAAGCUCUAUUCUUGACCUCAUUAACUAUGGUUUUGAUGACGUCAGGAGUUGGGUUAACCAUAUAAAACUACUCUAAAAUGACCGAGUAACAAUCCAAAAUUGUUUGAAAUCUUUUUAAUCAUUUCUAAAUUUCUGACAGCAACCAGAAACGAACUUUUGGACCGAUAUUGAUCGCUUACUCUCAAGAUAAAAAAUUAGCGUGACCCCUCUCUUGACGUAACAUGCAUAUCCUCAAUAAUCCAAGAUGGCGAACAGCUCACCUUUUUCAGUCGAAAUAUUUUGAAAACCAAGCAAGAUGUAAACAAUCUGUAAUAUAGUUUACUAUAGUUUUAAGAGUUCUUUCAAAUGAACUAAACGAAUUUUUUAUUGCCAAUGUCCUUUAUGUUGAUUUUAGGAAUGGCUGGGCAUGGCCUUGCAUGAAAUGAAUGCCAAUAAAUAUAGAAAUGAGAACAGUUAGUAACAGGGUCAGGGAUUUACUAGCCUGCGAACAGGCUCUCAAGCUGAAUUGAGAGCCUGCAUCGAUGAUAUACAAUUUUGAAUAUCUGCCCCGUAACGUUCGUUUUUCCAAAUAUGGAAUGUCUAUCCUUAUAUGGUGUUGUUUACAACUUUCGUGCAAACUAAAUUUAGACCGUACAGUUUACACUGUUUUUCGAAAUACAAG
Paramuricea clavata is the source of this 709-nucleotide non-coding RNA. The record is from the annotation of a GenBank genome assembly. Lineage: Eukaryota; Metazoa; Cnidaria; Anthozoa; Malacalcyonacea; Plexauridae.